GAUAUGAGGGUCUGUAAUAUUUAUGGAGCUAUGGGCUUUCCCCACCACCCAGAAGUUCACUUUAUGCCACUUUACUUUUACGAAAACCCUACAUUAGUACCUGAUUUCACUAACUGAAAGAAAUCUAAAGAGGACUUUUGCUUUAUGAAAUGCAUGUCCUAUAGAGCUCUCUUCAAUGAUGGCAAUAUUCAACAUCUUCACUAUCCAAUAACAUGGCCAACUAGCCACUUGUGGGUAGUGUGACUAAGGAAAUAAAAUUUUCAAUUUUAUCUAAUUAGAAUUAAUUUAUACUUAACGAGGCACAUGUGGCUUGUGGUGAAUUCAUUAGAUCACAUUCCUCAAGCUCUAUAAGAAGCCUGCAGGGAAGGCUCUUUUAUUACUUCAGUGAAGCAACAUGGCCUGGUACCUACCAAUGUGGUUCUGAGUAUAAACUGUUGGGUUCUAAUUUAGAUCGCAACACCUGUCAGCUGUGCAAUCCUGCACACAUUUUUUUAACCUCUGUUCUCGAGGCCUCAUACAUUCCUGGGCUGGUGGCCACUUCCUGCCUCUAAGACAGAAGCAUAGCAUCUUCUCUCCCUUCUAAGUUUCUUGUUUGCAAGUACCUUUAUGAGUACAUCAGGUCCAGCUGGAGGAUGCAGGGUAAUCGCCCCAUCUCCUGAUCCUUACUAUUAGCACAUCGCACACACUAUUAUCACCUUCUGCAAUGGAAGAUCUGCUGAGAGCUCUGUCCCACCAGCCAGCAACCUAAGGAGGCCUUCAAGAAUAUCUCAAAGAAGAGGCUUACAAGCAGAGGGCAAA
This is a long non-coding RNA of Canis lupus familiaris (dog), 798 nucleotides long. RefSeq lists it as uncharacterized. NCBI's taxonomy places the organism in Eukaryota, Metazoa, Chordata, Mammalia, Carnivora, Canidae. The transcript has 5 exons. The record is from RefSeq and is a predicted model, not a curated record.